This 1383-nucleotide ribosomal RNA is filed under the name Streptococcus salivarius. RNAcentral's name for it is "16S ribosomal RNA". It matches the Rfam family "Bacterial small subunit ribosomal RNA", at positions 51 to 1423 of the family's 1533-position model. Lineage: Bacteria; Bacillati; Bacillota; Bacilli; Lactobacillales; Streptococcaceae. The record is from RNAcentral.
AUACAUGCAGUAGAACGCUGAAGAGAGGAGCUUGCUCUUCUUGGAUGAGUUGCGAACGGGUGAGUAACGCGUAGGUAACCUGCCUUGUAGCGGGGGAUAACUAUUGGAAACGAUAGCUAAUACCGCAUAACAAUGGAUGACACAUGUCAUUUAUUUGAAAGGGGCAAUUGCUCCACUACAAGAUGGACCUGCGUUGUAUUAGCUAGUAGGUGAGGUAACGGCUCACCUAGGCGACGAUACAUAGCCGACCUGAGAGGGUGAUCGGCCACACUGGGACUGAGACACGGCCCAGACUCCUACGGGAGGCAGCAGUAGGGAAUCUUCGGCAAUGGGGGCAACCCUGACCGAGCAACGCCGCGUGAGUGAAGAAGGUUUUCGGAUCGUAAAGCUCUGUUGUAAGUCAAGAACGAGUGUGAGAGUGGAAAGUUCACACUGUGACGGUAGCUUACCAGAAAGGGACGGCUACUACGUGCCAGCAGCGCGGUAAUACGUAGGUCCGAGCGNGUCCGGAUUUAUUGGGCGUAAAGCGAGCGCAGGCGGUUUGAUAAGUCUGAAGUUAAAGGCUGUGGCUCAACCAUAGUUCGCUUUGGAAACUGUCAAACUUGAGUGCAGAAGGGGAGAGUGGAAUUCCAUGUGUAGCGGUGAAAUGCGUAGAUAUAUGGAGGAACACCGGUGGCGAAAGCGGCUCUCUGGUCUGUAACUGACGCUGAGGCUCGAAAGCGUGGGGAGCGAACAGGAUUAGAUACCCUGGUAGUCCACGCCGUAAACGAUGAGUGCUAGGUGUUGGAUCCUUUCCGGGAUUCAGUGCCGCAGCUAACGCAUUAAGCACUCCGCCUGGGGAGUACGACCGCAAGGUUGAAACUCAAAGGAAUUGACGGGGGCCCGCACAAGCGGUGGAGCAUGUGGUUUAAUUCGAAGCAACGCGAAGAACCUUACCAGGUCUUGACAUCCCGAUGCUAUUUCUAGAGAUAGAAAGUUACUUCGGUACAUCGGUGACAGGUGGUGCAUGGUUGUCGUCAGCUCGUGUCGUGAGAUGUUGGGUUAAGUCCCGCAACGAGCGCAACCCCUAUUGUUAGUUGCCAUCAUUCAGUUGGGCACUCUAGCGAGACUGCCGGUAAUAAACCGGAGGAAGGUGGGGAUGACGUCAAAUCAUCAUGCCCCUUAUGACCUGGGCUACACACGUGCUACAAUGGUUGGUACAACGAGUUGCGAGUCGGUGACGGCAAGCUAAUCUCUUAAAGCCAAUCUCAGUUCGGAUUGUAGGCUGCAACUCGCCUACAUGAAGUCGGAAUCGCUAGUAAUCGCGGAUCAGCACGCCGCGGUGAAUACGUUCCCGGGCCUUGUACACACCGCCCGUCACACCACGAGAGUUUGUAACACCCG